AGCUCCAAUAGCGUAUAUUAAAGUUGUUGCGGUUAAAAAGCUCGUAGUUGGAUUUCUUCUAGGGAAGACGGGUCUCGUUCUUAACGAUGUAUCUUUGUCUGCCUUGGAAUCUUCUCGAAAAUCGUUUUUGCGUUUGAUUACGUGAUUCGACGUUCGAGACUUUUACUUUGAGGAAAUUAGAGUGUUCAUAGCAAGCAGUCGCUUUGAAUAUAUUAGCAUGGAAUAAUAAUAUAAGACUAAGUACUUAUUUUGUUGGUUUCUAGGGACUUAGUAAUGAUAAAUAGGGAUAAUUGGGGGUAUUUGUAUUGUCGCGUCAGAGGUGGAAUUCUUGGAUUGCGCUAAGACAAACUACUGCGAAAGCAUUUGCCAAGGAUGUUUUCA
RNAcentral lists this ribosomal RNA (381 nucleotides) under uncultured eukaryote. Its description in RNAcentral is "SSU rRNA". It matches the Rfam family "Eukaryotic small subunit ribosomal RNA", at positions 587 to 972 of the family's 1831-position model. The record is from RNAcentral.